CGUGUAGGCGGCCGAUCAAGUCGGAUGUGAAAUCUCUCGGCUCAACCGAGAAACUGCAUCCGAUACUGGUUAGCUAGAGUGCGAGAGGGGUGAGUGGAACUCCAGGUGUAGCGGUGAAAUGCGUAGAUAUCUGGAGGAACGCCGGUGGCGAAAGCGACUCACUGGCUCGCAACUGACGCUGAGGCGCGAAAGCUAGGGGAGCGAACAGGAUUAGAUACCCUGGUAGUCC
Molecule: ribosomal RNA, 229 nt
Filed under: uncultured bacterium
Lineage: Bacteria
Description: partial 16S ribosomal RNA
Rfam family: Bacterial small subunit ribosomal RNA
Source: RNAcentral